Molecule: long non-coding RNA, 567 nt
Organism: Talpa occidentalis (Iberian mole)
Lineage: Eukaryota; Metazoa; Chordata; Mammalia; Eulipotyphla; Talpidae
Exons: 4
Source: RefSeq, a predicted model, not a curated record
UCUCAUCCCAAAGUAGUUCCAAAAGUAAUGACAGUAACAGCUGCAUAUGGAGUUUUAGAAGACCCUUUGCUGCCUCAUUCAUAAAUAGAAUGAAAUAAGAGGCCAAUAAUGGGAACAUAGUGCUACUUUUUAUGAAAUAUAAACUAUAUUUCUACUCCAAACUCAUUAUAUAUCCAUCCUGUGGUAUACAUUUGAAAACAAGCAACUUGAAAGAAGCAACUGUAUCAUCUUCAUCUCAAUAUCCAGCACAGAAUCUGACCUGGGAGAAUAGAGGAGACUGUCACAUUUGGUUGAAGAAAUGCUUAAGCAGUAAGAGAAGACAUGAUUAAAGAUUCACCUGCUGUACAACUCCCAGACCAUUCAACAUACCUGGACAUCGGCUUCCAUCUUGUUCAUCACUUCAUCUUUAUGUCACUUCUUCAGUAGAAUUCUGGUCUAGUUUUUCUGAUCUUGAUUUCUUUUUGUCCCUUGACUCUUUGAUCCUUUUAAUCACAUAAAGUUUCAAGUGAUACUUGCAAAUUAUCACCCACUUGCAAGUAUCUUAUUAAUGGUUUCCUUGAGCUUAGA